This 253-nucleotide ribosomal RNA is filed under the name uncultured bacterium. RNAcentral describes it as "partial 16S ribosomal RNA". It matches the Rfam family "Bacterial small subunit ribosomal RNA", at positions 524 to 776 of the family's 1533-position model. The record is from RNAcentral.
UACGAGGGGUGCAAGCGUUGCUCGGAAUUAUUGGGCGUAAAGGGUAGGUAGGUGGUCUCAUUUGUCUGGGGUGAAAUCCUUGGGCUUAACCUAAGAAGUGCCCCAGAAACGGUGAGACUAGAGUACUGGAGAGGGUCGUGGAAUUCCCGGUGUAGCGGUGGAAUGCGUAGAGAUCGGGAGGAACACCAGAGGCGAAGGCGGCGACCUGGACAGUAACUGACACUCAACUACGAAAGCGUGGGGAGCAAACAGG